UCCCAUCAUUAAGGAUCCUCCAAUCUUUUGAGUGAGCAAAAAUGGAACUCUGGCUAAACCUCCUGUCCUUCUUAGUUCUCCUCAGAGGUGGCCAAUCUGAGGUCCAUUUGGUGGAAUCUGGAGGGGAUGUGAGAAGACCUGGAGAGUCCCUCCGUCUCUCCUGCCAAGCCUCUGAAUUCACCUUCAGCAGCUACUGGAUGAGCUGGGUGAGACAGGCUCCAGGGAAAGGACUGGAAUGGGUGGCAUUCAUAGACACUGGUUCCGGUACUUCCUACCCAGACAAAGUGAAGGGACGGUUCACCAUCUCCAGGGACAAUGCCAAAAACCAGCUGUAUCUGCAGAUAAACAGCCUCAAAGCUGAAGACACGGCUGUCUAUUACUGUGCUAGAGACACAGUGAGAGGAAUUAUAUGUGAAGCCAAGCAAAAACUGCCCAUUUCACCCAGCAGCUCUGUAAACAUUUCUAACAAAAACAACUUCAUUAAUUUGGAUUCUUCCUUCAUGUCUUCAUUCUGCACUUCAACCUUCAUCCAUUCAAUGCAUACGAAUGAUACUCUUUUUUUAUGUAAUGAACACCACAUUUCAAUUACAUACUCAAUCCAGGUUGAUAUUUACUCAGUCUAUUCAUUCCUGACCCCACCCACUGAUUUCACCACCCAUAUUUCUUAG
Protobothrops mucrosquamatus (brown spotted pit viper) is the source of this 668-nucleotide non-coding RNA. The record is from the annotation of a RefSeq genome assembly. Lineage: Eukaryota; Metazoa; Chordata; Lepidosauria; Squamata; Viperidae.